UCCUCAGCAAUUCCCUUUGGCGUGUGGC
Molecule: non-coding RNA, 28 nt
Filed under: Mus musculus (house mouse)
Lineage: Eukaryota; Metazoa; Chordata; Mammalia; Rodentia; Muridae
Also listed under: 1 other name
Source: RNAcentral